Non-coding RNA from Marmota flaviventris (yellow-bellied marmot), 143 nucleotides. The record is from RefSeq and is a predicted model, not a curated record. NCBI's taxonomy places the organism in Eukaryota, Metazoa, Chordata, Mammalia, Rodentia, Sciuridae.
UGUGUGUGUGUGUGUGUAUGUAUGUGUGUGUGUGUGUGUGUGUGUGUGUAUAUAUAUAUACACACACACACACACACACACACACACACACAAAUAAAUAAAUUUAGGUACGUAGUACAAUUAAGAAAUAGACCAAAAAUGAA